AUGCCUUACACAUGCAAGUCGAACGGCAGCACGGGAGCUUGCUCCUGGUGGCGAGUGGCGAACGGGUGAGUAAUACAUCGGAACGUACCCUGAAGUGGGGGAUAACGUAGCGAAAGUUACGCUAAUACCGCAUAUUCUGUGAGCAGGAAAGAGGGGGGAUCGCAAGACCUCUUGCUUUAGGAGCGGCCGAUGUCGGAUUAGCUAGUUGGUGAGGUAAAGGCUCACCAAGGCGACGAUCCGUAGCGGGUCUGAGAGGAUGAUCCGCCACACUGGGACUGAGACACGGCCCAGACUCCUACGGGAGGCAGCAGUGGGGAAUUUUUGGACAAUGGGCGGAAGCCUGAUCCAGCCAUGCCGCGUGAGUGAAGAAGGCCUUCGGGUUGUAAAGCUCUUUCGGCCGGGAAGAAAUCGCAUGGGUUAAUACCCUGUGUGGAUGACGGUACCGGCAUAAGAAGCACCGGCUAACUACGUG
This 472-nucleotide ribosomal RNA is filed under the name uncultured bacterium. RNAcentral's name for it is "bacterial SSU rRNA". It matches the Rfam family "Bacterial small subunit ribosomal RNA", at positions 44 to 507 of the family's 1533-position model. The record is from RNAcentral.